This 479-nucleotide ribosomal RNA is filed under the name uncultured bacterium. Its description in RNAcentral is "partial 16S ribosomal RNA". It matches the Rfam family "Bacterial small subunit ribosomal RNA", at positions 29 to 507 of the family's 1533-position model. The record is from RNAcentral.
ACGAACGCUGGCGGCGUGCUUAACACAUGCAAGUCGAACGAUGAAGAAAAGAAUUGCAGCUUCGGCAGAAAUUCAUUUCGGAUUAGUGGCAGACGGGUGAGUAACGCGUGAGCAACCUACCUCUUACAAAGGGAUAGCCUCGGGAAACCGGGAUUAAUACCAUAUAACAUUGCGACGAAGCAUUUCGAUGCAAUCAAAGCUACGGCGGUAAGAGAUGGGCUCGCGUCCCAUUAACCAGAUGGUGAGGUAACGGCUCACCAUAGUAACGAUGGGUAACCGGCCUGAGAGGGUGAACGGUCACACUGGAACUGAGACACGGUCCAGACUCCUACGGGAGGCAGCAGUGGGGAAUAUUGCACAAUGGAGGGAACUCUGAUGCAGCGACGCCGCGUGAGUGAUGAAGGAAUUCGUUUCGUAAAACUCUGUUCUAUGGGAAGAAAAGGACUGUACCAUAGGAGAAAGCUCCGGCUAAAUACGUG